UAGGGAAUCUUCCUUCAAUGGGCGAAAGCCUGACGGAGCAACGCCGCGUGGGUGAAGAAGGAUUUCGGUUCGUAAAGCUCUGUUGUUAGGGAAGAAUGAUUGUGUAGUAACUAUACACAGUAGAGACGGUACCUAACCAGAAAGCCACGGCUAACUACGUGCCAGCAGCCGCGGUAAUACGUAGGUGGCAAGCGUUGUCCGGAAUUAUUGGGCGUAAAGCGCGCGCAGGUGGUUUAAUAAGUCUGAUGUGAAAGCCCACGGCUCAACCGUGGAGGGUCAUUGGAAACUGUUAAACUUGAGUGCAGGAGAGAAAAGUGGAAUUCCUAGUGUAGCGGUGAAAUGCGUAGAGAUUAGGGGGAACACCAGUGGCGAAGGCGGCUUUUUGGCCUGUAACUGACACUGAGGCGCGAAAGCGUGGGGAGCAAACAGGAUUAGAUACCCUGGUAGUCCACGCCGUAAACGAUGAGUGCUAAGUGUUGGUCUCAUAAGAGAUCAGUGCUGCAGCUAACGCAUUAAGCACUCCGCCUGGGGAGUACGACCGCAAGGUUG
Molecule: ribosomal RNA, 549 nt
Filed under: uncultured bacterium
Lineage: Bacteria
Description: bacterial SSU rRNA
Rfam family: Bacterial small subunit ribosomal RNA
Source: RNAcentral